RNAcentral lists this ribosomal RNA (576 nucleotides) under Apiospora arundinis. Its description in RNAcentral is "eukaryotic LSU rRNA". The stretch from base 210 to 363 matches the Rfam family "5.8S ribosomal RNA". Lineage: Eukaryota; Fungi; Ascomycota; Sordariomycetes; Amphisphaeriales; Apiosporaceae. The record is from RNAcentral.
GAUUGGUGAACCAGCGGAGGGAUCAUUACAGAGUUAUACAACUCCCAUACCAUCUGUUAACCUACCCAGUUAUGCCUCGGCGUAAGCUCGGUUGGAGGCACCUGCAGCUACCCUGUAGUUGCGGACUGCCAACUCCAGCCGCGGCCCGCCGGCGGUACACUAAACUCUGUUUUAUUUUAUAUUCUGAGCGUCUUAUUUUAAUAAGUUAAAACUUUCAACAACGGAUCUCUUGGUUCUGGCAUCGAUGAAGAACGCAGCGAAAUGCGAUAAGUAAUGUGAAUUGCAGAAUUCAGUGAAUCAUCGAAUCUUUGAACGCACAUUGCGCCCAUCAGUAUUCUGGUGGGCAUGCCUGUUCGAGCGUCAUUUCAACCCUUAAGCCUAGCUUAGUGUUGGGAAUCUGCUGUACUGCAGUUCCUUAAAGACAGUGGCGGAGCGGCGGUAGUCCUCUGAGCGUAGUAAUUUAUUUCUCGCUUUUGUCAGGCUCUGUCCUCCCGCCAUAAAACCCCCAAUUUUUUAGUGGUUGACCUYGGAUCAGGUAGGAUACCGCUGACUAGCUAUCAAUAAGCGGAGGAAAAA